ACUCCUACGGGAGGCAGCAGUGGGGGAAUAUUGCACAAUGGGCGCAAGCCUGAUGCAGCCAUGCCGCGUGUAUGAAGAAGGCCUUCGGGUUGUAAAGUACUUUCAGCAGUGAGGAAGGUGGGUAUGUUAAUAGCAUACUCAUUUGACGUUAGCUGCAGAAGAAGCACCGGCUAACUCCGUGCCAGCAGCCGCGGUAAUACGGAGGGUGCGAGCGUUAAUCGGAAUUACUGGGCGUAAAGCGCAUGCAGGUGGUUUGUUAAGUCAGAUGUGAAAGCCCGGGGCUCAACCUCGGAAUUGCAUUUGAAACUGGCAAACUAGAGUACUGUAGAGGGGGUAGAAUUUCAGGUGUAGCGGUGAAAAUGCGUAGAGAUCUGAAGGAAUACCGGUGGCGAAGGCGGCCCCCUGGACAGAUACUGACACUCAGAUGCGAAAGCGUGGGGAGCAAACAGGAUUAGAUACCCUGGUAG
This 467-nucleotide ribosomal RNA is filed under the name uncultured bacterium. RNAcentral's name for it is "bacterial SSU rRNA". It matches the Rfam family "Bacterial small subunit ribosomal RNA", at positions 335 to 793 of the family's 1533-position model. The record is from RNAcentral.